RNAcentral lists this small RNA (104 nucleotides) under pig gut metagenome. RNAcentral describes it as "drum RNA". It matches the Rfam family "drum RNA". From Rfam's summary of the family: Firmicutes, Bacteroidetes (1 example), Proteobacteria (2 examples), Spirochaetes (2 examples). Terminator (Clostridia) The record is from RNAcentral.
AGUGAUGAAGCUAUAUGCUGCGCCAAUAUGCAGUGUUUAGCGGAGCUUGCAAAGGGUUUGCAUAUCAAACCACAAAUUGGCUAGAUUUAAUCGAAAAGAAAAAU